Molecule: unclassified non-coding RNA, 214 nt
Filed under: Basidiomycota sp.
Lineage: Eukaryota; Fungi; Basidiomycota
Description: partial contains small subunit ribosomal RNA, internal transcribed spacer 1, and 5.8S ribosomal RNA
Rfam family: Eukaryotic small subunit ribosomal RNA (bases 1-47)
Source: RNAcentral
AAAGUCGUAACAAGGUUUCCGUAGGUGAACCUGCGGAAGGAUCAUUAAUGAAAAAUAGGACGUUCUUUUUAGAAGUCCGACCCUUCAUUUACUUUACACUGUGCACACACUUCUUUUUCACCCAUUUUUAAACACUAUAGUAUAAGGAUGUACCAGUCUCGUAAUUGAGCAUAAAUAUAAAAUAAAACUUUCAGCAACGGAUCUCUUGGCUCUC